Molecule: ribosomal RNA, 773 nt
Filed under: uncultured bacterium
Lineage: Bacteria
Description: bacterial LSU rRNA
Rfam family: Bacterial large subunit ribosomal RNA
Source: RNAcentral
AAGAAACCCAGGGAACUGAAACAUCUAAGUACCUGGAGGAAAGGAGAACAAUUAGUGAUUCCGCAAGUAGUGGCGAGCGAACGCGGAAAAGCCCUAAAGUCUAUAUAUAAGGAGUAGAACAUGAUGGGAAUCAUGACCAUAGAAGGUGAAAGUCCUGUAAGCGAAGAUAUAUAUAGAUGAAACGAGUAAGGCGGAACCGGAGAAAUUCUGUCUGAAUAUAGCUGCACCAUCAGCUAAGGCUAAAUACUCCCGAGAGACCGAUAGUGAACUAGUACUGUGAAGGAAAGGUGAAAAGAACCCUAAAAAAGGGAGUGAAAAGAUCCUGAAACCGUACGCUUACAAGCGGUCGGAGCACUUCGGUGUGACGGCGUGCCUUUUGCAUAAUGAGCCUACGAGUUACUCCUCACUAGCAAGCUUAAGUACUUUAGGUACGGAGGCGCAGCGAAAGCGAGUCUGAAUAGGGCGAUUAAGUUAGUGGGGGUAGACGCGAAACCUGGUGAUCUACCCAUGGGCAGGUUGAAGCUUCGAUAGUAUCGAAGUGGAGGACCGAACCGGUAUAUGUUGAAAAAUGUUCGGAUGACCUGUGGGUAGGGGUGAAAGGCCAAUCAAACCAGGAGAUAGCUCGUACUCCCCGAAAUGCAUUUAGGUGCAGCGUCGUGAAGAGUGUCAUGGAGGUAGAGCUACCGAUAGGGCUAGGGGGCUUCACCGCCUACCAACCCCUGACGAACUCCGAAUGCCAUGACAUUGCAGCGGCAGUGAGGCUAUGGGUGCUA